RNAcentral lists this ribosomal RNA (253 nucleotides) under uncultured bacterium. Its description in RNAcentral is "partial 16S ribosomal RNA". It matches the Rfam family "Bacterial small subunit ribosomal RNA", at positions 524 to 776 of the family's 1533-position model. The record is from RNAcentral.
UACGUAGGUGGCAAGCGUUAUCCGGAUUUACUGGGUGUAAAGGGCGUGUAGGCGGGAGUGCAAGUCAGAUGUGAAAACCACGGGCUCAACCUGUGGCCUGCAUUUGAAACUGUACUUCUUGAGUACUGGAGAGGCAGACGGAAUUCCUAGUGUAGCGGUGAAAUGCGUAGAUAUUAGGAGGAACACCAGUGGCGAAGGCGGUCUGCUGGACAGCAACUGACGCUGAGGCGCGAAAGCGCGGGGAGCAAACAGG